Molecule: small nuclear RNA, 105 nt
Organism: Heterocephalus glaber (naked mole-rat)
Lineage: Eukaryota; Metazoa; Chordata; Mammalia; Rodentia; Bathyergidae
Source: Ensembl
GUGCUCAAUUUGGCAGAACACACAUUAAAAUUAGAGUGACACAGAGGAGAUUAUCAUGGGCCCUAAAAGGAUGAUAUGCAAAUUUAUGAAGUGUUCUAUAUUUUC